UCCCUGGUAGCUCAGUCGGUAAAGAUUCUGCCUGCAGUGCAGGAGACCCAGGUUCAAUCCCUGGUUCGGGAA
RNAcentral lists this transfer RNA (72 nucleotides) under Bos taurus (domestic cattle). It matches the Rfam family "tRNA". Rfam says of the family: Transfer RNA (tRNA) molecules are approximately 80 nucleotides in length. Their secondary structure includes four short double-helical elements and three loops (D, anti-codon, and T loops). Lineage: Eukaryota; Metazoa; Chordata; Mammalia; Artiodactyla; Bovidae. The record is from Rfam by way of RNAcentral. RNAcentral also lists the same sequence under 1 other name.